RNAcentral lists this ribosomal RNA (440 nucleotides) under uncultured bacterium. RNAcentral describes it as "partial 16S ribosomal RNA". It matches the Rfam family "Bacterial small subunit ribosomal RNA", at positions 338 to 795 of the family's 1533-position model. The record is from RNAcentral.
CCUACGGGUGGCAGCAGUGGGGAAUAUUGCACAAUGGGGGAAACCCUGAUGCAGCGACGCCGCGUGAGUGAAGAAGUAUUUCGGUACGUAAAGCUCUAUCAGCAGGGAAGAAAAUGACGGUACCUGACUAAGAAGCCCCGGCUAACUACGUGCCAGCAGCCGCGGUAAUACGUAGGGGGCAAGCGUUAUCCGGAUUUACUGGGUGUAAAGGGAGCGUAGACGGCAGCGCAAGUCUGGAGUGAAAUCCCAUGGCUUAACCAUGGACCUGCGUUGGAAACUGUGCAGCUAGAGUGCAGGAGAGGUAAGCGGAAUUACUAGUGUAGCGGUGAAAUGCGUAGAUAUUAGGAGGAACACCAGUGGCGAAGGCGGCUUACUGGACUGUAACUGACGUUGAGGCUCGAAAGCGUGGGGAGCAAACAGGAUUAGAUACCCGAGUAGUC